GGCCAUAUGUUUCUAUCUUUUGAAUUGAUUCCUUCAUUGCUAUAACUUCAAUGCACUCCAAUUUUCUAUGGACCAUUUGCCAAACCCUGAUUGUCUUAUCAGAAGAUCCACUUAGAAGACUUUCCCCAGGUUCAAAGAGUGAAAAACAUGUGACUGCCUUUUUGUGCUCUUUCAGGUCCCAUACAAGAGUGGCUGACUGCUGUUUGAUGUCCCACACCUUAAUCGAACCAUCAGAAUAGCCACUGAAAAGCAGUCCCAUGUAAUAGAUAAGAGCAGUUACUGCUCCACUGCUGUUGUGCUUUGCCUCCAAAAUUUGUG
Molecule: unclassified non-coding RNA, 318 nt
Filed under: Hevea brasiliensis (rubber tree)
Lineage: Eukaryota; Viridiplantae; Streptophyta; Magnoliopsida; Malpighiales; Euphorbiaceae
Source: RNAcentral